This 154-nucleotide small RNA is filed under the name Sinorhizobium meliloti 2011. RNAcentral describes it as "putative ncRNA". Lineage: Bacteria; Pseudomonadati; Pseudomonadota; Alphaproteobacteria; Hyphomicrobiales; Rhizobiaceae. The record is from RNAcentral.
UACCGGUGAAACGAGGAAACGUGCAUGGUUCGCGCCCCCGCAUCCGCUUCCUCCUGGAAGUCUUCACUGUAGCAAGAAAAAGCCCCGGCACCAGCAAGAAGGCGAAAAUCGCGUGGAUUUUCAGGAACCUGCUUGCGGCAGCCGGGGCUUUAUC